GUCUACGGCCAUGCCACCCUGAACAUGCCAAAUCUCGUCUGAUUUCGGAAGCUAAGCAGUGUUGGGCCUGGUUAGUACUUGGAUGGGAGACCACCUAGAAAGACCAGGUGCUGUAGGCA
RNAcentral lists this ribosomal RNA (119 nucleotides) under Pteropus alecto (black flying fox). The record is from RNAcentral. Lineage: Eukaryota; Metazoa; Chordata; Mammalia; Chiroptera; Pteropodidae.